RNAcentral lists this ribosomal RNA (498 nucleotides) under uncultured bacterium. RNAcentral describes it as "partial 16S ribosomal RNA". It matches the Rfam family "Bacterial small subunit ribosomal RNA", at positions 34 to 506 of the family's 1533-position model. The record is from RNAcentral.
CGCUGGCGGCGUGCCUAAUACAUGCAAGUAGAACGCACAGUUUAUACCGUAGCUUGCUACACCAUAGACUGUGAGUUGCGAACGGGUGAGUAACGCGUAGGUAACCUGCCUGGUAGCGGGGGAUAACUAUUGGAAACGAUAGCUAAUACCGCAUAAUAUUGAUUAUUGCAUGAUAAUUAAUUGAAAGGUGCAAUUGCACCACUACCAGAUGGACCUGCGUUGUAUUAGCUAGUAGGUGAGGUAACGGCUCACCUAGGCGACGAUACAUAGCCGACCUGAGAGGGUGAUCGGCCACACUGGGACUGAGACACGGCCCAGACUCCUACGGGAGGCAGCAGUAGGGAAUCUUCGGCAAUGGACGAAAGUCUGACCGAGCAACGCCGCGUGAGUGAAGAAGGUUUUCGGAUCGUAAAGCUCUGUUGUAAGAGAAGAACGGGUGUGAGAGUGGAAAGUUCACACUGUGACGGUAUCUUACCAGAAAGGGACGGCUAACUACGU